CCUACGGUGGGCAGCAGUGAGGAAUAUUGGUCAAUGGGCGCGAGCCUGAACCAGCCAAGUAGCGUGAAGGAUGACUGCCCUACGGGUUGUAAACUUCUUUUAUAAAGGAAUAAAGUGAGGCACGUGUGCCUUUUUGUAUGUACUUUAUGAAUAAGGAUCGGCUAACGCCGUGCCAGCAGCCGCGGUAAGACGGAGGAGACGAGCGUUAUCCGGAUUUAUUGGGUUUAAAGGGCGCGUAGAUGGGUUGUUAAGUCAGUUGUGAAAGUUUGCGGCUCAACCGUAAAAUUGCAAUUGAUACUGGCAGCCUUGAGUACAGUUGAGGUAGGCGGAAUUCGUGGUGUAGCGGUGAAAUGCUGAGAUAUCACGAAGAACUCCGAUUGCGAAGGCAGCCUACUAAACUGCCACUGACAUUGAUGCUCGAAAGUGUGGGUAUCAAACAGGAUUAGAUACCCUUGUAGUC
This 460-nucleotide ribosomal RNA is filed under the name uncultured bacterium. RNAcentral describes it as "partial 16S ribosomal RNA". It matches the Rfam family "Bacterial small subunit ribosomal RNA", at positions 338 to 795 of the family's 1533-position model. The record is from RNAcentral.